CUAAUCGAUAAAGCCGCUGUCACACUGCGCCAUAAAUCACAAACUUUCAGCUUUAUUGUAAACAUCGGAACAAAAAUGAUAGCCAUAAGAAACCUAAAGAAAAGAAUAAACGAGCAUGGCGGAUAGAGCAGAAUUUCAAUUGCACUACGAGUUCAAUGCGGAAGGAAGCAGACAUCAUGCUAAAUAUUAUCUCUCACAUGCGAACUUUAGUCUUGUUCAGGCAGCCGAUGUACGACACAUCCAUUGCCCACGUUGUUACUGGCGAGAUCUACUCCGUAGCACCAAGUCGGAAAGUACUGAAGAGCUGAAGCGUGACGUGCUUCAUCAUAGGUGCCUUGGAGGAUUUGCCUAGGGAUGUCUUCUGCGAUGUUGUCACGGUCAAAAUAGGUGGUUGGCGAUUUCUGCUCCCAGGUGGUAGAGUUGAAAGUCACGCAAAUGAGUGACCAGUCGGAAACUAUGGAACGCGAAAGUAGAUGAUCGACUGUCGCUGCUGUUCCCCCCGGCAAGAGUUUUCAAAUUUUGGCAGUGACAGCCACAACCAACAAUGACGGCCAUUAUGGUCCCAAUGUGCGGCUUGAAGAGUCAGAGGAGAGUGACAAUAUAUACAGAUAUAUGUAUUCGGCGAGGCAAAGGACGAUUGUGUACCAGAUAGGAAUAUACAGACGAGCAUUGAUUAGGCGCGACACGCAGAGAAUUUGGCCAAUGAAGAGGCUGACAGCAAUGUCUACAAAUAUCCCCUGAACAUCGGCGCCUAUUGGCUGCAAAGUUGUCUGAGCAAGAUUUAAAAGAACAUCAUAGUGUCGCUGUCUGCCGAUGUACUCAAGAUCCACAAAAAUGAUUGCCAGCUCGCAGACAGCGACCCAGAACAAAAUCAAGGAUUCGUAUUAGCGACAUGUGUCGGAAUUUGGUGUGGUGUCAAGCGAUGCAGUGAGACGGUAAGAAAAUCGUAUCCGUUUUCGUGUUCAUAGAGCUGAAGGAUGAGGAUCGCACGCUUCUAUUGCCGCUUUCCUACACGCAGAUGGCCGAUGGGGCCCAUUGAACUCAGCUAUGUGGGGAUCCAGCUGAAGCGUGAAUGUCUCCAGUUAAUCCAACUUUUUGUACUGCGAAAGAUCAAGGAAGGCCGGCGUGUCGAUGUUCCCGGCAACCAAGACUAUACCUUGUCCAACAUAAGCGACUCCUACGUGGGCUGCGAUCAGGAGUAGAAGGACUACAAGGAUCAGGAGUCGAAGUGGCCGAUUUCCAAUCUGACAAUCAGACCGAGUCGGAUUAGGGCGUACGUUAAGAUUAGUAUACAUAACAAAUCCUACCCUAAUAAAACAUGUAGCAUACUCUUGGGGCUACCCGAUAAUACCAUCAA
Long non-coding RNA from Drosophila guanche, 1357 nucleotides. RefSeq lists it as uncharacterized. NCBI's taxonomy places the organism in Eukaryota, Metazoa, Arthropoda, Insecta, Diptera, Drosophilidae. The transcript is spliced from 4 exons. The record is from RefSeq and is a predicted model, not a curated record.